Molecule: ribosomal RNA, 591 nt
Filed under: uncultured Actinomycetes bacterium
Lineage: Bacteria; Bacillati; Actinomycetota; Actinomycetes
Description: bacterial SSU rRNA
Rfam family: Bacterial small subunit ribosomal RNA
Source: RNAcentral
AGAGUUUGAUCAUGGCUCAGGACGAACGCUGGCGGCGCGCUUCAUCCAUGCAAGUCGAACGAGCCCGGGACUUCGGUCCCAAUGGGAAAGUGGCGAACGGGUGAGUAACACGUGAGAAACCUACCCCGGAGAUGGGAAUAGCCCAGGGAAACCUGGAUUAAUACCCAAUACCCUGCUUGCACCUCAUGGUGCGCUCAGGAAAUGCUUUUGUGCUCCGGGAGGGUCUCGCGGCCUAUCAGCUUGUUGGUGAGGUAAUGGCUCACCAAGGCAUCGACGGGUAGCUGGUCUGAGAGGACGAUCAGCCACACUGGGACUGAGACACGGCCCAGACUCCUACGGGAGGCAGCAGGAGGGAAUAUUGCGCAAUGGGCGAAAGCCUGACGCAGCGACGCCGCGUGGGGGAAGAAGGCCUUCGGGUCGUAAACCCCUUUCAGCAGGGACGAAAUUGACGGUACCUGCAGAAGAAGCGCCGGCCAACUACGUGCCAGCAGCCGCGGUAAUACGUAGGGCGCAAGCGUUGUCCGGAUUCAUUGGGCGUAAAGGGCUCGUAGGCGGUUUGGUAAGUCGGGUGUGAAAACUCAGGGCUCAACU